AGCCCUCCCGCCUCCUGCCCACAAUGGCCUCUGCUGACAAGAAUGGCGGGAGCGUGUCCUCUGUGUCCAGCAGCCGCCUGCAGAGCCGGAAGCCACCCAACCUCUCCAUCACCAUCCCGCCACCCGAGAAAGAGACUCAGGCCCCUGGCGAGCAGGACAGCAUGCUGCCUGAGAGGAAGAACCCAGCCUACUUGAAGAGCGUCAGCCUCCAGGAGCCACGCAGCCGAUGGCAGGAGAGCUCAGAGAAGCGCCCCGGCUUCCGCCGCCAGGCCUCACUGUCCCAGAGCAUCCGCAAGGGCGCAGCCCAGUGGUUUGGAGUCAGCGGCGACUGGGAGGGGCAGCGGCAGCACUGGCAGCUCCGCAGCCUGCACCACUGCAGCGUGCGCUACGGCCGCCUGAAGGCCUCGUGCCAGCGUGACCUGGAGCUCCCCAGCCAGGAGGUGCCGUCCUUCCAGGGCACUGAGUCCCCAAAGCCCUGCAAGAUGCCUAAGGUGGGAUCCAUGGGGAAAGGGGGCAGGGGUGGGGACCCUAGUGGCUCUGCUUACCGCCCCCCUCCCUUCCAGAUUGUGGAUCCGCUGGCCCGGGGCCGGGCCUUCCGUCACCCAGAGGAAAUGGACAGGCCCCAUGCCCCGCACCCACCGCUGACCCCCGGAGUCCUGUCCCUCACCUCCUUCACCAGUGUCCGUUCUGGCUACUCCCACCUGCCGCGCCGCAAGAGAAUGUCUGUGGCCCACAUGAGCUUUCAAGCUGCUGCUGCCCUCCUCAAGGGGCGCUCGGUGCUGGAUGCCACCGGACAGCGGUGCCGGGUGAUCAAGCGCAGCUUUGCCUUCCCGAGCUUCCUGGAGGAGGAUGUGGUCGAUGGGGCAGACACGUUUGACUCCUCGUUUUUUAGUAAGGCAAGCAUGGGCUCCAUGCCUGAUGAUGUCUUUGAGUCCCCCCCACUCUCUGCCAGCUACUUCCGAGGGAUCCCACACUCAGCCUCCCCUGUCUCCCCCGAUGGGGUGCAAAUCCCUCUGAAGGAGUGUGGCCGAGCCCCAGUCCCCGGGCCCCGGCGCGGCAAGCGCAUCGCCUCCAAGGUGAAGCACUUUGCCUUUGAUCGGAAGAAGCGGCACUACGGCCUCGGCGUGGUGGGCAACUGGCUGAACCGCAGCUACCGCCGCAGCAUCAGCAGCACUGUGCAGCGGCAGCUGGAGAGCUUCGACAGCCACCGGCCCUACUUCACCUACUGGCUGACCUUCGUCCAUGUAAUCAUCACGCUGCUGGUGAUUUGCACGUAUGGCAUCGCACCCGUGGGCUUUGCCCAGCACGUCACCACCCAGCUGGUGCUGCGGAACAAAGGUGUGUACGAGAGCGUGAAGUACAUCCAGCAGGAGAACUUCUGGGUCGGCCCCAGCUCGGUGAGGGCCCAGGCUGGGGGACAUCAUCUGAGCCAGGAGUCCCUGUGCCCUGUCAUCCCCAGCUGGGCAGAUUGACCUGAUCCACCUGGGGGCCAAGUUCUCGCCCUGCAUCCGGAAGGACCGGCAGAUCGAGCAGCUGGUGCUGCGGGAGCGAGACCUGGAGCGGGACUCAGGCUGCUGUGUCCAGAAUGACCACUCUGGCUGCAUCCAGACCCAGCGGAAGGACUGCUCGGUGGGGGCAGGCCCUCCCUCCUACCCCUGCCAGACCUUGGCCCUGGACUAGCUCCACUUGCCCUGGCCUGGGGGACAGGCCCUUCAAGGGCAGUGACCACGUUCCCUCCUCCCUGCCCCACCCUUCCCAGACCCCCGUAGAUGAGACUGAGCCCUGGGGAGAUGGGAAAAGCCUCUGUCCUUG
RNAcentral lists this small RNA (1812 nucleotides) under Pongo abelii (Sumatran orangutan). RNAcentral describes it as "retained intron". Lineage: Eukaryota; Metazoa; Chordata; Mammalia; Primates; Hominidae. The record is from RNAcentral.